Molecule: long non-coding RNA, 1817 nt
Organism: Cornus florida
Lineage: Eukaryota; Viridiplantae; Streptophyta; Magnoliopsida; Cornales; Cornaceae
Exons: 6
Source: RefSeq, a predicted model, not a curated record
GCUCUUUAGUAACUAUUUAAGGAUCCAUUUAAAAAAAAAAAACAUUAGUUUAUACUGCAUAUAUGCAAUAGUCUCUAUAUAUCUUAAGAGUGAGUCCAUUGAAGAAGAGGAGAAAAUCAGAGAGGGCCUGUGAAUGCACUAUCUUCUCCUCUUCAACGGCGAUCGCGAUCGCGAUCGCUGUCUCACCCUGUUGGUUCUCUCUCCUCUCUUCCACCGGCGCAUCUCCUCCAAACGCCUCUCGUUCCUAAAUCCACAGAAGGUUGGUGAGAUUAUAAUCAGAUCUGAGGAAAAUGGUGACUCAUUGAAAGUGCGGAGUAGAGCAGUUUGGUAGCUUGCAAGGUCAUCACCUUGAGAUCACGGGUUCAAAUCCUGUCUCCGCUACAUGACAGUUUCCAAUAUUAAUAACUAAUUCCUUAAGUAUUCUCGCCUUUCAAGUAAAGAAGUGUCUUCUUAUCCUAUUUGCUUAUCAUUACAGUUUUCAUUUAUGUAAUUAUGUUGAUUGUAAAAAUUUCAUGCAGCAAUGUUGUGUAUCUGGCAGGAUUCUUAAUUUUUCUGAUGAACAUUGAUGAGCUUGGGGACAACAUUACUAUUUGGUUUUAAGUACAGUUAUUGCUACAUCAUUUGCCCACUCUAUCUGGAGGAGGUGUUGGCAGUUUUCUAAAUUAUGUUUGCUGUUUUGAUAGCUGAACUCCUGUGUUUGAAAGCUCUUCUCUUUCUCUGAUAGGGCACCCUGGAAUAUCAGGUGUCAGCUUUGGCAUAUCAACUCUCCAUUUUUGUAAGAAGGGAGAUUUUUAUGAACGUGGUAUCCAGCUAAAGGAAGUAAAAUGAUUGAAUAGAUGCGUAUGAACCACCUUGGAGACAGUUUCGGGGAUGAACAGAUGGAGCAGUGGAUUUCUUAAACCCCCAAUUAAUCCAGCGUUGGGGAUAUCACGGUUUCUUUGUUUUAACAGUACAAAGGCUGAACUCUUUGGAGUGCCUGUUGUCGAGCCGCCAGGUGUGAACCAUCAUAUAUUUAUCUUUUUCAAUAAUGUGGCUAUUUACAGAAAUCUUUUGUUGCCUCAUUUGAAGUCAUUAUGUAUUUGAUUAUGUAGUCAUUGACACAUUUAUGUUGUAGAGUUCUGAAGAGGCAUCAUCAUUGCACUUGUGAUUAUGACAUGCUUGUGAAAACUCUUCUGUUCAUUUUUAUCCUUGGUGAAGCUGCUUAGCCUUCUGGUGCAGUUGUGUGCAAGCAGUUUGUUGAGUUGUGGGCUCCACCUACUGCACUAAUUUAUAUUUUCAAUUAAAAACUUCUGCAUGGUUGGUAAGAAAGCAUUCACUGCUUGGUCUGAGCUGAACUUUUGGAUGGUCAACUUCCAUUUCAUGUUGUAUCAUUUAUGAAAUUAGGCCAUUUCAGCAGCUGAGUUGUUUUGUGUGUGUGUGACUUGGUUGACUAGUUGGUUGAAGUGUUGGUGUUUAAUUGCUUGUUGUUUCAUUUCCAGGAUUUCAGUGGUUGCUUAGUUUUUUAUGGCAUCUGACGAGGCACUAUACCUUCCCUUGGAAAUAUUUAGGCUUGUCAGUACUGUCCAUUUUGUGGGUGGUGGAGCUUCUGCUCGCUCUUUGCUUCAUGGUGUUUGCUGGCAGCAGUUCCCUGUUUGCUGUUAAUGUUUUUCCUUUUGUGGAGCAUGUUCCCUGGUCCCCACUUUUUUAGCGGUUCGCAUUCUACAGUUCUACUUUCUUUAAACAGUUACUAACUAAUUUUCCCCAACUACUUGUACAUUUAGCAACAAAACAGAACUAGUUCAUUCAAUAUUUCUGUGUAUUAACUUUUUUUUUUUUUU